This is a long non-coding RNA of Melospiza melodia melodia, 273 nucleotides long. RefSeq lists it as uncharacterized. The record is from RefSeq and is a predicted model, not a curated record. The transcript has 3 exons. Lineage: Eukaryota; Metazoa; Chordata; Aves; Passeriformes; Passerellidae.
AGAAGGGACUGGAGCCGGGGCCGGGAACGAGCCCUGGGACGGGAGCGGGCUUGGGAACAGCGCAAUCUCGGCUCAUUUUCUCUAAGCUAUACAAGUUCACGGACGAGCUAUCUAGCCAACGCGCCUCUCCCGUCAUGGACCUCCCAGGCUGCUGCGUGCCGCCCGCCCUCUGAGAAGGCUCCUUCGCCCCGCGCAGAGGAGGAGGCGGAGGAGGAGGAGGAGAAGGGGAGGAAGGCGCGGCCGCAGCCGCCGCUGCCCAGCCGCCGUCCCGCA